CCUACGGGAGGCAGCAGUGAGGAAUAUUGGUCAAUGGUCGGGAGACUGAACCAGCCAAGCCGCGUGAGGGAUGAAGGUACAGAGUAUCGUAAACCUCUUUUGUCAGGGAACAAAGGCGGGGACGCGUCCCCGGAUGAGUGUACCUGAAGAAAAAGCAUCGGCUAACUCCGUGCCAGCAGCCGCGGUAAUACGGAGGAUGCGAGCGUUAUCCGGAUUUAUUGGGUUUAAAGGGUGCGCAGGCGGUCUGUUAAGUCAGCGGUCAAAGGUCGGGGCUCAACCCCGUCCCGCCGUUGAAACUGGCAGUCUCGAGGUGGCGAGAAGUAUGCGGAAUGCGCGGUGUAGCGGUGAAAUGCAUAGAUAUCGCGCAGAACUCCGAUUGCGAAGGCAGCAUGCCGGCUCCACACUGACGCUGAGGCACGAAAGCGUGGGUAUCGAACAGGAUUAGAUACCCCAGUAGUC
Molecule: ribosomal RNA, 459 nt
Filed under: uncultured bacterium
Lineage: Bacteria
Description: partial 16S ribosomal RNA
Rfam family: Bacterial small subunit ribosomal RNA
Source: RNAcentral